GACUAUUGGACACUGGGGGGAACCCUGAUCCAGCCAUGCCGCGUGUGUGAAGAAGGCCUUUUGGUUGUAAAGCACUUUCCGCGCGUUGAAGGCUACUUAGAUUAAUACUCUCGUAUCGUGGACGUUACUCGCAGACUAAGCCCCGGCCAACUCUGUGCCAGCCGCCGCGGUAAUACAGAGGGUGCAAGCGUUAAUCGGAUUGACUGGGCGUAAAGCGCGCGUAGGUGGCCAAUUAAGUCAAAUGUGAAAUCCCCGAGCUUAACUUGGGAAUGGCAUUCGAUACUGGUUGGCUAGAGGAGGGGAGAGGAUGGUAGAAUUCCAGGUGUAGCGGUGAAAUGCGUAGAGAUCUGGAGGAAUACCGAUGGCGAAGGCAGCCAUCUGGCCUAAUACUGACACUGAGGUGCGAAAGCAUGGGGAGCAAACA
This 424-nucleotide ribosomal RNA is filed under the name uncultured bacterium. RNAcentral's name for it is "partial 16S ribosomal RNA". It matches the Rfam family "Bacterial small subunit ribosomal RNA", at positions 359 to 774 of the family's 1533-position model. The record is from RNAcentral.